This 480-nucleotide ribosomal RNA is filed under the name uncultured bacterium. RNAcentral's name for it is "bacterial SSU rRNA". It matches the Rfam family "Bacterial small subunit ribosomal RNA", at positions 56 to 527 of the family's 1533-position model. The record is from RNAcentral.
UGCAAGUCGAACGGUAACAGGGAGAAGCUUGCUUUUCCGCUGACGAGUGGCGCACGGGUGCGCAACGCGUAUAGAACCUACCCUGUACAGGGGGAUAGCCCGGAGAAAUCCGGAUUAAUACCCCGUAGUAAUUAGAAUUGGCAUCGAUUUUAAUUUAAAGCUUCGGCGGUACAGGAUGGCUAUGCGUCCUAUUAGCCAGAUGGUGAGGUAACGGCUCACCAUAGCUAUGAUAGGUAGGGGCCCUGAGAGGGGGAUCCCCCACACUGGUACUGAGACACGGACCAGACUCCUACGGGAGGCAGCAGUGAGGAAUAUUGGACAAUGGGCUCACGCCUGAUCCAGCCAUGCCGCGUGCAGGAAGACAGCCCUAUGGGUUGUAAACUGCUUUUAUACGGGAAGAAUAAGGGGCACGUGUGCCCUGGUGACGGUACCGUAAGAAUAAGGACCGGCUAACUCCGUGCCAGCAGCCGCGGUAAUACG